AUGCCCCUCCGUCCCCCAAGCAGCCCCCGGCUCAAGGAUCUCCCGACUCCACACGGCGGUGCAGCGCGGUUGGUCCAUGGAGCAUCCCGUGCCCACGAGCUCCCCCGGAGCCGGAGCCGGAGACCCCGCGACCCGCCGUCCCCUCCCCCGCACGAGGAGGAGGAGCAUCUUGCUGAACCUGGAUCAUCAUCUGCACAAACUCUGCAAGCACCGUCCUUGAAUGAGUCGCCCAGCGCUUCGUCGGUGUGGGAGGAAUUGCGUGUCGCUGUCGCUUCCUCCGCCUUUUCGCAGUCGGAGGCAGUAGCUCCUGACUCGCCUAUUUUUUCCCGGCUACCGCGUGACUGGGGGCUCCAAUUUUACAUCAGGGUGGAUCUUUCAGGAUCUUUCCACACAUAUCCUCGUUUGGGUGGGCCAUUCAAGAGCUUAGAGGAAGCCGACAGUGCUAUUGAUCGCCAUCUGCACGACCGCCGGGUCACCAAAAUGUGCCCGGAGCAAGGCAGCGUUUCUCGACUGGAUAAGGUCGUACAACAAUGUCUUUACUGGCCCGAUGGCAGAAGGAAGAAGCGUUCAAAAUCUCAUGUGAUUGAGCAAAGUCAUAAUCGAAUGUGCCUAUUGGCUCAAGCUCUAGUAGACAAGUAUAACGAGAAUCACAAUCUUUUGGGGGAUCUUGCACAUGAGUUCAAAGACGUUGUGCAAUAUCAAUCAAUUUGCGAGAACCGUGUGUGGUACUAUCAUCUCAAUAUCACUACAAGGGCUAAAGGAGCUGAUGGUUUCUCCCAUGGCAUCGAUGAUCUAUUCUUCACGGAAGUCAAACGUGUGCGACAGGGACAACAUGAGGAAUUGGUGGUCAGCUGUUUCUGCAUGCUCAAACCGACUGAUAACGGUUGCUGCUAUGGCUGUACCAACAAUGGAUCUCCUGAUAUGAAGCACCCCAGCAGCACUGAUAAAUACAUUGCUGGUCACUUGAACGGAUAUUUGCCAUUUGGAUGCCGUAGGGAGUUUAGUGACUCUGAUGAUGAGGAGGAAGCUGAGGCUAAGCUAAGAGAUAUGUAUGAGGGCCUUGAUGAGCCAGACUUUCUGGAGAAACUCUUCACAUUUCCCACUUAUGUAACUCUGAGGAAAGACACGAAGGGAACCUGA
This 1140-nucleotide ribosomal RNA is filed under the name Triticum aestivum (bread wheat). RNAcentral's name for it is "partial small subunit ribosomal RNA". The record is from RNAcentral. Lineage: Eukaryota; Viridiplantae; Streptophyta; Magnoliopsida; Poales; Poaceae.